AUCAUAAAUUAUUUUUUUCAUAUUCGGUUUGUAUUUUCUUUUCCGCUAAUACUUAGGACAUCAGUUAGGACGUCCUAGAUAAGAUAUUCCUAAGAUAGCUUCGAUGUGCAUGCUGAGACGUGUCGUAAGUCGGUCCUAACUUUAUCCUAACUUCUGUCCUAAGAAAUUCUUAGGACCGAUCUUAGGAAAGUUUCGAUAAACAGGCCCC
RNAcentral lists this long non-coding RNA (208 nucleotides) under Mytilus galloprovincialis (Mediterranean mussel). The record is from RNAcentral. Lineage: Eukaryota; Metazoa; Mollusca; Bivalvia; Mytilida; Mytilidae.